Molecule: ribosomal RNA, 329 nt
Filed under: uncultured eukaryote
Lineage: Eukaryota
Description: partial 18S ribosomal RNA
Rfam family: Eukaryotic small subunit ribosomal RNA
Source: RNAcentral
CCCUUAGAUGUUCUGGGCCGCACGCGCGCUACAAUGAUGAAUUCAACGAGUUUAUAACCUUGGUUGAAAAGCCUGGGUAAUCUUUUGAACUUUCGUCGUGAUGGGGCUAGACCCUUGCAAUUAUUGGUCUCCAACGAGGAAUUCCUAGUAAACGCAAGUCAUCAGCUUGCAUUGAUUACGUCCCCGCCCUUUGUACACACCGCCCGUCGCACCUACCGAUUGAAUGGUCCGGUGAAAUCUUCGGAUUGAGACUUUGAUUUCUUCACGGAAAACGCUGUUUUAAAAAGUUGAUUAAACCUUACCAUUUAGAGGAAGGUGAAGUCGUAACA